UACUGUCUUUUCGAGGUAGGAGUCGACUCCUGUGAGGUAUGGUGCUGGGUGCAGAUGCAGUGUGGCUCUGGAUAGCACCUUAUGGACAGUUGUGUCCCCAAGGAAGGAUGAGAAUAGCUACUGAAGUCCUAAAGAGCAAGCCUAACUCAAGCCAUUGGCACACAGGCAUUAGACAGAAAGCUGGAAGUUGAAAUGGUGGAGUCCAACUUGCCUGGACCAGCUUAAUGGUUCUGCUCCUGGUAACGUUUUUAUCCAUGGAUGACUUGCUUGGGUAAGGACAUGAAGACAGUUCCUGUCAUACCUUUUAAAGGGUUUUUAAUGACCACAACAAGCAAGCAUGCAGCUUACUGCUUGAAAGGGUCUUGCCUCACCCAAGCUAGAGUGCAGUGGCCUUUGAAGCUUACUACAGCCUCAAACUUCUGGGCUCAAGUGAUCCUCAGCCUCCCAGUGGUCUUUGUAGACUGCCUGAUGGAGUCUCAUGGCACAAGAAGAUUAAAACAGUGUCUCCAAUUUUAAUAAAUUUUUGCAAUCCAUCUGGA
Molecule: long non-coding RNA, 539 nt
Filed under: Homo sapiens (human)
Lineage: Eukaryota; Metazoa; Chordata; Mammalia; Primates; Hominidae
Description: growth arrest specific 5
Source: RNAcentral